GCCUUCGUGGUGUAGUGGUCAGCACGCUCGAACGUGUAACCGAGAGAUCCAUGGUUCGAUUCCCGGCGAAGGCG
RNAcentral lists this transfer RNA (74 nucleotides) under Stegodyphus mimosarum. It matches the Rfam family "tRNA". From Rfam's summary of the family: Transfer RNA (tRNA) molecules are approximately 80 nucleotides in length. Their secondary structure includes four short double-helical elements and three loops (D, anti-codon, and T loops). The record is from Rfam by way of RNAcentral. Lineage: Eukaryota; Metazoa; Arthropoda; Arachnida; Araneae; Eresidae.